AAAGAGCUUUUUGUUCAAAAACAAAAUAUACAGCAAAUACAGCUACAAACACACUUUAUUAAAUAUGAAUUAUCAAUGGAAUCCUUUGUUGAUUAGAAUGCAUAACUACAUAAUUUGACUUUUGAAUCUGUUUUUAUUGCUAGAUUUAAUAAUAUGG
Long non-coding RNA from Perognathus longimembris pacificus (Pacific pocket mouse), 157 nucleotides. RefSeq lists it as uncharacterized. The transcript is spliced from 4 exons. Lineage: Eukaryota; Metazoa; Chordata; Mammalia; Rodentia; Heteromyidae. The record is from RefSeq and is a predicted model, not a curated record.